GAUGAACGCUAGCGGGAGGCUUAAUACAUGCAAGUCGAGGGGUAACGAUGGACUUCGGUUCAGGCGACGACCGGCGCACGGGUGAGUAACGCGUACACAACCUACCUUUAAGUGAGGAAUAGCCCUGGGAAACUGGGAGUAAUACCUCAUAGUAUUGAUUUUUAGUAGUAUAGAUCAAUUAAAGCUCCGGCGCUUAAAGAUGGGUGUGCGUCCUAUUAGAUAGUUGGUGAGGUAAAGGCUCACCAAGUCCGCGAUAGGUAGGGGGCGUGAGAGCGUGAUCCCCCACACGGGUACUGAGACACGGACCCGACUCCUACGGGAGGCAGCAGUAAGGAAUAUUGGACAAUGGGCGAAAGCCUGAUCCAGCCAUCCCGCGUGCAGGAUGACGGCCCUAUGGGUUGUAAACUGCUUUUAGUUGGAACGAAACCCCUGGAUUUAUCCGGGGCUGACGGUACCUUCAGAAUAAGCACCGGCUAACUCCG
RNAcentral lists this ribosomal RNA (482 nucleotides) under uncultured Saprospiraceae bacterium. RNAcentral's name for it is "bacterial SSU rRNA". It matches the Rfam family "Bacterial small subunit ribosomal RNA", at positions 28 to 505 of the family's 1533-position model. Lineage: Bacteria; Pseudomonadati; Bacteroidota; Saprospiria; Saprospirales; Saprospiraceae. The record is from RNAcentral.